This 484-nucleotide ribosomal RNA is filed under the name uncultured Bacillota bacterium. RNAcentral's name for it is "bacterial SSU rRNA". It matches the Rfam family "Bacterial small subunit ribosomal RNA", at positions 347 to 823 of the family's 1533-position model. Lineage: Bacteria; Bacillati; Bacillota. The record is from RNAcentral.
GGCAGCAGUGGGGAAUCUUCGGCAAUGGGCGAAAGCCUGACCGAGCAACGCCGCGUGAAUGAUGAAGGCCUUCGGGUUGUAAAAUUCUGUUAUAAGGGAAGAACGACUUUAGUAGGAAAUGGCUAAAGUGUGACGGUACCUUAUGAGAAAGCCACGGCUAACUACGUGCCAGCAGCCGCGGUAAUACGUAGGUGGCAAGCGUUGUCCGGAUUUAUUGGGCGUAAAGGGAGCGCAGGCGGUGACUUAAGUCUGAUGUGAAAGCCCACGGCUUAACCGUGGAGGGUCAUUGGAAACUGGUCGACUUGAGUGCAGAAGAGGGAAGUGGAAUUCCAUGUGUAGCGGUGAAAUGCGUAGAGAUAUGGAGGAACACCAGUGGCGAAGGCGGCUUCCUGGUCUGUAACUGACACUGAGGCGCGAAAGCGUGGGGAGCAAACAGGAUUAGAUACCCUGGUAGUCCACGCCGUAAACGAUGAGUGCUAAGUGU